UAUGUUUUAUCUCUUUUGUUAAAAUAUAUAUGUGACCUUCCUUCCUUCCUUCCUUUCUUCCUUCCUUUCUUCCUUCCUUCCUUCCUUCCUUCCUUCCUUCCUUCCUUCCUUCCUUCCUUCUUUCUGUCUUUCACUCAGGCUGGAAUACAGUAGUGUGAUCAUAAUUUAUUCAGCCUCGAACUUGUGGUCUCAAGCAAUCAUCCUGCCUCAGCCUUUGACUAACUGGGACUACAGAUGUGUACCACCAUACCAUGUGACAAUAUUGACAUGGUCCCUGUCACCAUCCACCUCGACUUCAUGUAUCUUCUGCUUCUACCCGUGUAACAAGUACAUGUCUCUCAAAACAGAAUUUUGGCUUUUCCAGAUUGGCAAAUACCUCUUAGUUAAAUGUGGCUUUCAAGUAUGUGUUUACUCCUUUAUGUUUCAAUUUUCCUUCAAUUUUGGCCUGGAGAGUGUCUCAACUAAGAAGCUAAAAAGGGAAAGAAAAGAAAAGCAAUUAUGUUUUUUUCCCCUGCGGCCUAUACAAACACAUACACACCAAGGUAGUAAACGCAUAGUGGAAAAAAAAAGGUCAGAGGUCCGGGCGCAGUGGCUCACGCCUGUAAUCCCAGCACUUUGGGAGGCCGAAGCGGGCAGAUCACGAAGUGAGGAGAUCGAGACCAUCCCAGCUAACACGGUGAAACCCCCGUCUCCACUAAAAACACAAAAAAUUAGCUGGGCGAGAUGGCGGGCGCCUGUAGUCCCAGCUACUGGGGAGGCUGAGGCAGGAGAAUGGCGUAAACCCGGGAGGCGGAGCUUGCAGUGAGCCGGGAUCCGGCCACUGCACUCCAGCCUGGGCGACAGAGCGAGACUCCGUCUCAAAAAAAAAAAAAGAAAGAAAAAGAAAAAAAUGGUUAGAGAUAUCUUGUCAGAGGUUUUUUUUUCCUUUUCUAUUUGGGCUUAAUUUCACAGGUCAUGAAUAAUGGACUAUUGAUCUACUAUGAUGCUCCCUUAACUCUAACCCACUGGGUUCUUUCUGCUGUCUUUGGCAACAACACUUUUGCCUAGGAGAUCUAUUAUGGAGUUGGGGAUUGGUUCUGUCUUUCUCAUGACCGCCUUCAUGCAUUUAAUCUUAAUGGUGUCCUUCCUGGUAUUCAGAACUUUUGAUUUUUUUAUUUGGCAAUAGAUGGCAAAUGACAUGGAAUGAAAAGCAGAGACAGAACUUUCAGUCUUGAAUUCAGUAUAGUUUCUAUAUGAUUUCACUAAUAUGCUGUCAAUUUCAGGCACUUCUGGUAGUAAAAUAGAAAUUGUCUUCCAUGGUCACUGGGGUAUUGUGGAAGACAUAGCUGUUGGUAUUUGAAGAGCAGUCGCAGGAAGGUGGAGUCCAAGUCAGGUUCUAACAGCCUGUCCUGGGGAAAAUAGCCUAGUCUUUUAAAAUUUAAUGGUUAAGAGCAAGACUAAAAAAAAAAGUAAGUGUAGAUAAAUAGCUUUUGCUCACUGCUACUACUAAUUCAAAUGGCUUUUUCCAGGAAUCCAUUCAACUCCCAGAUCUGUUGUUUUUCACAAUAUAUUAAGUUUGUUAUUUCUACAGCCCCAAAUAAAAUAAAUAACAAUUACUCUUCCGUGUCAGGUUUUUCUGAGUCAGAAUCCAGGGUUUGAAAUCCAUUUAUAUUUUUUUCUGGUAUUAGUAGAUUUUCUUUUGAAUUAUGAGAUCGCAUCCCAUAGUAUGGAUAUACCUCCAUUUAUUUGUUCCUGCGGAUAUGUGUUUCCUGUUUCAGGCAG
RNAcentral lists this long non-coding RNA (1761 nucleotides) under Pan troglodytes (chimpanzee). RNAcentral's name for it is "lncRNA (ENSPTRG00000052884.1)". Lineage: Eukaryota; Metazoa; Chordata; Mammalia; Primates; Hominidae. The record is from RNAcentral.